GACGAACGCUGGCGGCGUGCUUAACACAUGCAAGUCGAACGGAAAGGCCCUGCUUGCAGGGUACUCGAGUGGCGAACGGGUGAGUAACACGUGGGUGAUCUGCCCUGCACUUCGGGAUAAGCCUGGGAAACUGGGUCUAAUACCGGAUAGGAGCCAUUUUUAGUGUGAUGGUUGGAAAGUUUUUUUGGUGUAGGAUGGGCUCGCGGCCUAUCAGCUUGUUGGUGGGGUAAUGGCCUACCAAGGCGGCGACGGGUAGCCGGCCUGAGAGGGUGGACGGCCACAUUGGGACUGGGAUACGGCCCAGACUCCUACGGGAGGCAGCAGUGGGGAAUAUUGCACAAUGGGCGCAAGGCUGAUGCAGCGACGCCGCGUGGGGGAUGACGGCCUUCGGGUUGUAAACUCCUUUCGCUAGGGACGAAGCUUUUUGUGACGGUACCUAGAUAAGAAGCACCGGCUAACUACGUG
Molecule: ribosomal RNA, 465 nt
Filed under: uncultured bacterium
Lineage: Bacteria
Description: partial 16S ribosomal RNA
Rfam family: Bacterial small subunit ribosomal RNA
Source: RNAcentral